AAAGGAAUAGACGGGGGCCCGCACAAGCGGCGGAGCAUGUGGAUUAAUUCGAUGCAACGCGAAGAACCUUACCUGGGUUUGACAUACACCGGACGCUGGUAGAGAUAUCAGUUCCCUUGUGGUCGGUGUACAGGUGGUGCAUGGCUGUCGUCAGCUCGUGUCGUGAGAUGUUGGGUUAAGUCCCGCAACGAGCGCAACCCUUGUCUUAUGUUGCCAGCACGUAAUGGUGGGGACUCGUAAGAGACUGCCGGGGUCAACUCGGAGGAAGGUGGGGACGACGUCAAGUCAUCAUGCCCCUUAUGUCCAGGGCUUCACACAUGCUACAAUGGCCAGUACAGAGGGCUGCGAUACCGCGAGGUGGAGCGAAUCCCUUAAAGCUGGUCUCAGUUCGGAUCGGGGUCUGCAACUCGACCCCGUGAAGUCGGAGUCGCUAGUAAUCGCAGAUCAGCAACGCUGCGGUGAAUACGUUCCCGGGCCUUGUACACACCGCCCGU
Molecule: ribosomal RNA, 494 nt
Filed under: uncultured bacterium
Lineage: Bacteria
Description: bacterial SSU rRNA
Rfam family: Bacterial small subunit ribosomal RNA
Source: RNAcentral